GGUUGUUAGGAUUUCUCUCUCUUUUUGUCUAAGAGUUAGACAUAGACUUUUCUCUCCCCUUUGUCCAAGAGUUGGACAUGUUAUUCUAGAUCUCUAGUAUAGAGAUCUUAUGCAUGAGUUUUAGGAAGAAAUUGAAAAAAGUAUUUUCUUAUGAUCUCCAGCAUAGAGAUCUCUAUCCUCUUAGUUCCUUCUACUUCUCUAAGAUAAUUUUAAAAGAAAAGAAGAAUCAUCUUUAACCGUCAAGAUACGAUCUAUGCAAGGGAUUUAGAAUCCUGAUGAGAUCAAGAAGCUUCUGAUC
This 298-nucleotide long non-coding RNA is filed under the name Elaeis guineensis (African oil palm). Its description in RNAcentral is "long non-coding RNA (EGUI_LNC051252)". Lineage: Eukaryota; Viridiplantae; Streptophyta; Magnoliopsida; Arecales; Arecaceae. The record is from RNAcentral.